GACGAACGCUGGCGGCGUGCUUAACACAUGCAAGUCGAACGAAGAGCGAUGGAAGCUUGCUUCUAUCAAUCUUAGUGGCGAACGGGUGAGUAACGCGUAAUCAACCUGCCCUUCAGAGGGGGACAACAGUUGGAAGCGACUGCUAAUACCGCAUACGAUCUAACCUCGGCAUCGAGGAAAGAUGAAAGGUGGCCUCUAUUUAUAAGCUAUCACUGAAGGAGGGGAUUGCGUCUGAUUAGCUAGUUGGAGGGGUAACGGCCCACCAAGGCGAUGAUCAGUAGCCGGUCUGAGAGGAUGAACGGCCACAUUGGGACUGAGACACGGCCCAGACUCCUACGGGAGGCAGCAGUGGGGAAUCUUCCGCAAUGGACGAAAGUCUGACGGAGCAACGCCGCGUGAGUGAUGACGGCCUUCGGGUUGUAAAGCUCUGUUAAUCGGGACGAAAGGCCUUCUUGCGAAUAGUGAGAAGGAUUGACGGUACCGGAAUAGAAAGCCACGGCUAA
Molecule: ribosomal RNA, 503 nt
Filed under: Veillonella dispar
Lineage: Bacteria; Bacillati; Bacillota; Negativicutes; Veillonellales; Veillonellaceae
Description: bacterial SSU rRNA
Rfam family: Bacterial small subunit ribosomal RNA
Source: RNAcentral